GAUGAAGAACGUAGCGAAAUGCGAUAAGUAGUGUGAAUCGCAGAAUUCAGUGAAUCAUCGAAUCUUUGAACGCACAUUGCGCCCCUUGGUAUCCCGAGGGGCAUGCCUGUUCGAGCGUCAUUUCACCACUCAAGCCUGGCUUGGUGUUGGGCGACGUCCUCUUUGGGGACGCGCCUCGAAACGCUCGGCGGCGUGGCACCGGCUUUAAGCGUAGCAGAAUCUUUCGCUUUGGAAGUCGGGGCCCCGUCUGCCGGAAGACCUGCUCGCAAGGUUGACCUCGGAUCAGGCAGGGAUACCCGCUGAACUUAAGCAUAUCAAUAAGCGGAGGA
RNAcentral lists this unclassified non-coding RNA (329 nucleotides) under soil metagenome. RNAcentral describes it as "partial contains 5.8S ribosomal RNA, internal transcribed spacer 2, and large subunit ribosomal RNA". The stretch from base 1 to 120 matches the Rfam family "5.8S ribosomal RNA", at positions 35 to 154 of the family's 154-position model. The record is from RNAcentral.